RNAcentral lists this ribosomal RNA (448 nucleotides) under uncultured bacterium. RNAcentral's name for it is "bacterial SSU rRNA". It matches the Rfam family "Bacterial small subunit ribosomal RNA", at positions 329 to 797 of the family's 1533-position model. The record is from RNAcentral.
GGCCAGACUCCUACGGGAGGCAGCAGUGGGGGAUAUUGCACAAUGGGGGGAACCCUGAUGCAGCGACGCCGCGUGGGUGAAGAAGCGCCUCGGCGCGUAAAGCCCUGUCAGCAGGGAAGAAAAUGACGGUACCUGAAGAAGAAGCCCCGGCUAACUACGUGCCAGCAGCCGCGGUAAUACGUAGGGGGCAAGCGUUAUCCGGAUUUACUGGGUGUAAAGGGAGCGCAGGCGGCACGGCAAGCCUGAUGUGAAAGCCCGCGGCCCAACCGCGGGACUGCAUUGGGAACUACCGGGCUGGAGUGCCGGAGAGGUAGGCGGAAUUCCUAGUGUAGCGGUGAAAUGCGUAGAUAUUAGGAGGAACAUCAGUGGCGAAGGCGACUAUCUGGCACAUAACUGACGCUGAGGAGCGAAAGCGUGGGUAGCAAACAGGAUUAGAUACCCGCGUACA